RNAcentral lists this ribosomal RNA (475 nucleotides) under uncultured bacterium. RNAcentral's name for it is "partial 16S ribosomal RNA". It matches the Rfam family "Bacterial small subunit ribosomal RNA", at positions 28 to 523 of the family's 1533-position model. The record is from RNAcentral.
AAUGAACGUUGGCGGCGUGGAUCAGGCAUGCAAGUCGCGCGGACCAGCAAUGGUUAGCGGCGAAAGGGAGAGUAACGCGUGGGUUAUCUGCCUCUUGGGCCAGGAUAGCUGCGGGAAACUGCAGGUAAUACUGGAUAAUGUCUUCGGACCAAGGGUGUGAUUCCGCCGGGAGGUGAGCCCGCGUCCUAUUAGCUAGUUGGUGAGGUAAUGGCUCACCAAGGCUUAGAUGGGUAGGGGGUGUGAGAGCACGACCCCCCUCACUGGGACUGAGACACUGCCCAGACACCUACGGGUGGCUGCAGUCGAGGAUCUUCGGCAAUGGGCGAAAGCCUGACCGAGCGACGCCGCGUGUGGGAUGAAGGCCUUCGGGUUGUAAACCACUGUCGUAGAGGAGGAAAUUCUGGGGGGUUCUCCCCUCAGUUUGACCUAUUCUAGGAGGAAGUCAGGGCUAAGUUCGUGCCAGCAGCCGCGGUAA